Molecule: ribosomal RNA, 859 nt
Filed under: Salmonella enterica
Lineage: Bacteria; Pseudomonadati; Pseudomonadota; Gammaproteobacteria; Enterobacterales; Enterobacteriaceae
Also listed under: 2 other names
Description: partial 23S ribosomal RNA
Rfam family: Bacterial large subunit ribosomal RNA
Source: RNAcentral
AGACCCGAAACCCGGUGAUCUAGCCAUGGGCAGGUUGAAGGUUGGGUAACACUAACUGGAGGACCGAACCGACUAAUGUUGAAAAAUUAGCGGAUGACCUGUGGCUGGGGGUGAAAGGCCAAUCAAACCGGGAGAUAGCUGGUUCUCCCCGAAAGCUAUUUAGGUAGCGCCUCGUGAAUUCAUCUCCGGGGGUAGAGCACUGUUUCGGCUAGGGGGCCAUCCCGGCUUACCAACCCGAUGCAAACUGCGAAUACCGGAGAAUGUUAUCACGGGAGACACACGGCGGGUGCUAACGUCCGUCGUGAAGAGGGAAACAACCCAGACCGCCAGCUAAGGUCCCAAAGUCAUGGUUAAGUGGGAAACGAUGUGGGAAGGCCCAGACAGCCAGGAUGUUGGCUUAGAAGCAGCCAUCAUUUAAAGAAAGCGUAAUAGCUCACUGGUCGAGUCGGCCUGCGCGGAAGAUGUAACGGGGCUAAACCAUGCACCGAAGCUGCGGCAGCGAACGUAUCACCCAAGACAACUUUACGGAGUUGACGAUUGACGGAGCGAAGCGACGUCAAAGCGUUCAUUAAAGUCGAGUUGGCUUAGGGAUACGUUCGUUGGGUAGGGGAGCGUUCUGUAAGCCUGUGAAGGUGUGUCGUGAGGCAUGCUGGAGGUAUCAGAAGUGCGAAUGCUGACAUAAGUAACGAUAAAGCGGGUGAAAAGCCCGCUCGCCGGAAGACCAAGGGUUCCUGUCCAACGUUAAUCGGGGCAGGGUGAGUCGACCCCUAAGGCGAGGCCGAAAGGCGUAGUCGAUGGGAAACGGGUUAAUAUUCCCGUACUUGGUGUUACUGCGAAGGGGGGACGGAGAAGGCUAUGU